This 68-nucleotide transfer RNA is filed under the name Haematopinus tuberculatus. RNAcentral's name for it is "tRNA-Phe". The record is from RNAcentral. Lineage: Eukaryota; Metazoa; Arthropoda; Insecta; Psocodea; Haematopinidae.
GUCUUAUGUAGCUUAAAUAUAAAGCGUUACUUUGAAGAAGUAAAAAUAAGUAAUAUACUUUUUAGACA